Molecule: non-coding RNA, 596 nt
Organism: Dermacentor albipictus
Lineage: Eukaryota; Metazoa; Arthropoda; Arachnida; Ixodida; Ixodidae
Source: RefSeq, a predicted model, not a curated record
UAAUUGCAAACGCCCGCGCUCACGGAUCCACGAAGGUCGCUGGCCCCAAAGAAGGAAGACGUUUAACUCGGAAACGACAGUACGACGCCCGGCUUUAAAGUGCGCCGAUGGUCCAAACGGAGAUUCCCGGAAACCGUGUAACGUCACGCGAAAUCCGCACCGAAUAAGUUUUCUUGGAGUGUGAAACAAACCGCGUUUGAGCGGCUGGCAAAGCGUGUACCGUUAGACAACCUUGAACUCAAGGCAAACUUGCGCGCAAGAUGCGCCGGCGUCUUCGAGAGCGUUCUGUCGUCUCCUCUGUUCACCCUCCCUCCGGGACCAUAUACCGUACUUUCCCUGUAUAAGAACGUCCGCGUCGCCUCCCGCGGGGUGAAGGAGCCCCCUUCUACGUCCCCAUUUUCCUAUUGCUCCCUCCUCCUGCUUUAUUUUUCUUUAAUCUGAAGAUGAUGUCGCGGCCCGAUAAAGCAGCGGCGGCAGCAGACACUCCAGUGCCAUCUGCAACAGGCUCGAAAGCGGGAAAGAACGCUGGCUCCGGUUCAAGGAAAUCAGCGGCGUGAGGUGAAAGGAAUGUGGUCGAUGACUAAAAAUGCUGGCCA